AAAGAAACUAGUAGCGUUGUUUUGAUUGCACGUUCAAUUCUAUUUGCACGUACGUUUCUAUAUAGGAAUACCGCAUCGAUACGGGGGAAGAAGACACCUCCUCUCUUUCUCUCGGUCUCUUCAUGCCCUCUUAUAUCAACGCCACAACUUUUGACAGUUUUGAAUAGACACCCGUGAUUGUAAUAACACACAU
Caenorhabditis elegans is the source of this 193-nucleotide non-coding RNA. NCBI's taxonomy places the organism in Eukaryota, Metazoa, Nematoda, Chromadorea, Rhabditida, Rhabditidae. The record is from Ensembl.